AGCUUUGCGCAGUGGCAGUAUCGUAGCCAAUGAGGUUUAUCCGAGGCGCGAUUAUUGCUAAUCGAAAACUCUUUUCCUAAUCUAUUUAUGAAUUUGUUCUUGCUCUCUGUCAAUGAAAACUUUUUAGGACUAGCUACUUUUA
This is a small nuclear RNA of Mirounga angustirostris (Northern elephant seal), 142 nucleotides long. RefSeq annotates it as U4 spliceosomal RNA. NCBI's taxonomy places the organism in Eukaryota, Metazoa, Chordata, Mammalia, Carnivora, Phocidae. The transcript has a single exon. The record is from RefSeq and is a predicted model, not a curated record.